UGGGGAAUAUUGCACAAUGGGGGAAACCCUGAUGCAGCAACGCCGCGUGAGUGAUGAAGGCCUUCGGGUUGUAAAGCUCUGUCUUUGGGGACGAUUAUGACGGUACCCAAGGAGGAAGCCACGGCUAACUACGUGCCAGCAGCCGCGGUAAUACGUAGGUGGCAAGCGUUGUCCGGAUUUACUGGGCGUAAAGGAUGCGUAGGCGGAUAUUUAAGUGAGAUGUGAAAUACCCGGGCUCAACUUGGGUGCUGCAUUUCAAACUGGAUAUCUAGAGUGCAGGAGAGGAAAGUGGAAUUCCUAGUGUAGCGGUGAAAUGCGUAGAGAUUAGGAAGAACAUCAGUGGCGAAGGCGACUUUCUGGACUGUAACUGACGCUGAGGCAUGAAAGCGUGGGGAGCAAACA
This 402-nucleotide ribosomal RNA is filed under the name uncultured bacterium. RNAcentral describes it as "bacterial SSU rRNA". It matches the Rfam family "Bacterial small subunit ribosomal RNA", at positions 355 to 774 of the family's 1533-position model. The record is from RNAcentral.